AGAGUUUGAUCUGGCUCAGAUUGAACGCUGGCGGCAUGCCUUACACAUGCAAGUCGAACGGCAGCACGGAGCUUGCUCUGGUGGCGAGUGGCGAACGGGUGAGUAAUAUAUCGGAACGUACCCUAAAGUGGGGGAUAACGUAGCGAAAGUUACGCUAAUACCGCAUACGAUCUAAGGAUGAAAGUGGGGGAUCGCAAGACCUCAUGCUCGUGGAGCGGCCGAUAUCUGAUUAGCUAGUUGGUAGGGUAAAAGCCUACCAAGGCAUCGAUCAGUAGCUGGUCUGAGAGGACGACCAGCCACACUGGAACUGAGACACGGUCCAGACUCCUACGGGAGGCAGCAGUGGGGAAUUUUGGACAAUGGGCGAAAGCCUGAUCCAGCAAUGCCGCGUGAGUGAAGAAGGCCUUCGGGUUGUAAAGCUCUUUUGUCAGGGAAGAAACGGUGAAGGCUAAUAUCCUUUGCUAAUGACGGUACCUGAAGAAUAAGCACCGGCUAACUACGUGCCAGCAGCCGCGGUAAUACGUAGGGUGCAAGCGUUAAUCGGGAAUUACUGGGCGUAAAGCGUGCGCAGGCGGUUUUGUAAAUUCUGAUGUGAAAUCCCCGGGGCUCAACCUGGGAAAUUGCAUUGGAGACUGCAAGGCUAGAAAUCUGGCAGAGGGGGUAGAAUUCCACGUGUAGCAGUGAAAUGCGUAGAUAUGUGGAGGAACACCGAUGGCGAAGGCAGCCCCCUGGGUCAAGAUUGACGCUCAUGCACGAAAGCGUGGGGAGCAAACAGGAUUAGAUACCCUGGUAGUCCACGCCCUAAACGAUGUCUACUAGUUGUCGGGUCUUAAUUGACUUGGUAACGCAGCUAACGCGUGAAGUAGACCGCCUGGGGAGUACGGUCGCAAGAUUAAAACUCAAAGGAAUUGACGGGGACCCGCACAAGCGGUGGAUGAUGUGGAUUAAUUCGAUGCAACGCGAAAAACCUUACCUACCCUUGACAUGGCUGGAAUCCUCGAGAGAUUGAGGAGUGCUCGAAAAAGAACCAGUACACAGGUGGUGCAUGGUUGUCGUCAGCUCGUGUCGUGAGAUGUUGGGUUAAGUCCCGCAACGAGCGCAACCCCUAUUGUUAGUUGCCAGCAUUCAGUUGGGCACUCUAAUGAGACUGCCGGUGACAAACCGGAGGAAGGUGGGGAUGACGUCAAGUCCUCAUGGCCCUUAUGGGUAGGGCUUCACACGUCAUACAAUGGUACAUACAGAGCGCCGCCAACCCGCGAGGGGGAGCUAAUCGCAGAAAGUGUAUCGUAGUCCGGAUUGUAGUCUGCAACUCGACUGCAUGAAGUUGGAAUCGCUAGUAAUCGCGGAUCAGCAUGUCGCGGUGAAUACGUUCCCGGGUCUUGUACACACCGCCCGU
RNAcentral lists this ribosomal RNA (1396 nucleotides) under uncultured bacterium. RNAcentral describes it as "bacterial SSU rRNA". It matches the Rfam family "Bacterial small subunit ribosomal RNA". The record is from RNAcentral.